AUCUGUAGUCAUCCCACCCUGACUGUGCCACAUCUCAUCUGAUCUUGGAAGCUAAGGAGAGUCAGACCUGGUAGGAGGGAGAGAAAACUUGCUGGCAGAGGAAAAUAUACAAA
Molecule: ribosomal RNA, 113 nt
Filed under: Castor canadensis (American beaver)
Lineage: Eukaryota; Metazoa; Chordata; Mammalia; Rodentia; Castoridae
Source: RNAcentral